CGACAUGGUCAGCUCCUACAGACAGUGUUAGGCACAACGACAUGGUCAGCUCCUACAGACAGUGUUAGGUACACCACCUCGUACAACGACAUGGUCAGCUCCUACAGACAGUGUUAGGCACAUCGACAUGGUCAGCUCCUACAGACAGUGUUAGGUACAACGACAUGGUCAGCUCCUACAGACAGUGUUGGGUACACCACCUCGUACACCGACAUGGUCAGCUCCUACAGACAGUGUUAGGUACACCACCUCGUACACCGACAUGGUCAGCUCCUACAGACAGUGUUAGGUACAACGACAUGGUCAGCUCAUACAGACAGUGUUGGGUACACCAACAUGGUCAGCUCCUACAGACAGUGUUAGGUACACCGACAUGGUCAGCUCCUACAGACAGUGUUAGGUACACCACCUCGUACACCGACAUGGUCAGCUCCUACAGACAGUGUUAGGUACACCGACAUGGUCAGCUCCUACAGACAGUGUUAGGUACACCACCUCGUACACCGACAUGGUCAGCUCAUACAGACAGUGUUAGGUACACCAACAUGGUCAGCUCCUACAGACAGUGUUAGGUACACCGACAUGGUCAGCUCCUACAGACAGUGUUAGGUACACCACCUCGUACACCAACAUGGUCAGCUCCUACAGACAGUGUUGGGUACAAUGACAUGGUCAGCUCCUACAGACAGUGUUAGGUACAACGACAUGGUCAGCUCCUACAGACAGUGUUAGGUACACCACC
Long non-coding RNA from Oncorhynchus tshawytscha (Chinook salmon), 742 nucleotides. NCBI's taxonomy places the organism in Eukaryota, Metazoa, Chordata, Actinopteri, Salmoniformes, Salmonidae. The record is from Ensembl.